AAGGAUCAUUACAGAGUUCAUGCCCUCACGGGUAGAUCUCCCACCCUUGAAUAUUAUACCUUAGUUGCUUUGGCAGGCCGGGGCAACCCUCGGGGCUUCGGCCUUGGUGUGCCUGCCAGAGGAAACAAACUCUGUUUUUAGUGAUGUCUGAGUACUAUAUAAUAGUUAAAACUUUCAACAACGGAUCUCUUGGUUCUGGCAUCGAUGAAGAACGCAGCGAAAUGCGAUAAGUAAUGUGAAUUGCAGAAUUCAGUGAAUCAUCGAAUCUUUGAACGCACAUUGCGCCCCGUGGUAUUCCGCGGAGCAUGCCUGUUCGAGCGUCAUUUCAACCCAUCAAGCUUCGGCUUGGUCUUGGGGCCUGCGAUUCCGCAGCCUCUAAACCCAGUGGCGGUGCCUCCGAGCUCUGAGCGUAGUAAUUCUUCUCGCUAUAGGGUCUCGGUGGUGUCUUGCCAGUAACCCCCAAUUUUUUACAGGUUGACCUCGGAUCAGGUAGGGAUACCCGCUGAACUUAAGCAUAUCAAUAAGCGGAGGAAAAGAAACCAACAGGGAUUACCUCAGUAACGGCGAGUGAAGCGGUAACAGCUCAAAUUUGAAAUCUGCCGCAAGGCCGAGUUGUAAUUUGUAGAAGAUGCUUUGGGUAUGGCCCCGGUCUAAGUUCGUUGGAACACGACGUCAUAGAGGGUGAGAAUCCCGUAUGUGACUGGGUGCUUUUGCCUAUGUAAAGCUCUUUCGACGAGUCGAGUUGUUUGGGAAUGCAGCUCAAAAUGGGUGGUAUAUUUCAUCUAAAGCUAAAUAUUGGCCAGAGACCGAUAGCGCACAAGUAGAGUGAUCGAAAGAUGAAAAGCACUUUGGAAAGAGAGUUAAACAGUACGUGAAAUUGUUGAAAGGGAAGCGCUUGCAACCAGACUUGCACGCUGUUGAUCAUCCAGGCUUCUGUCUGGUGCACUCGGCAGCGUUCAGGCCAGCAUCGGUUCUGGUGGUGGGAUAAAGGCCUUGGGAAUGUAGCUUCUUUCGGGGAGUGUUAUAGCCCUCGGUGCAAUGCCGCCUAUCGGGACCGAGGACCGCGCUUCGGCUAGGAUGCUGGCGUAAUGGUUGUAAGCGACC
This 1104-nucleotide ribosomal RNA is filed under the name uncultured Lemonniera. Its description in RNAcentral is "eukaryotic LSU rRNA". The stretch from base 476 to 1104 matches the Rfam family "Eukaryotic large subunit ribosomal RNA", at positions 1 to 649 of the family's 3401-position model. The record is from RNAcentral. Lineage: Eukaryota; Fungi; Ascomycota.